This 253-nucleotide ribosomal RNA is filed under the name uncultured bacterium. Its description in RNAcentral is "partial 16S ribosomal RNA". It matches the Rfam family "Bacterial small subunit ribosomal RNA", at positions 524 to 776 of the family's 1533-position model. The record is from RNAcentral.
UACGGAGGGGGCUAGCGUUGUUCGGAAUUACUGGGCGUAAAGCGCACGUAGGCGGCUUUGUAAGUUAGAAGUGAAAGCCCAGGGCUUAACCCUGGAAUUGCCUUUAAGACUGCAUCGCUAGAAUCGUGGAGAGGUGAGUGGAAUUCCGAGUGUAGAGGUGAAAUUCGUAGAUAUUCGGAAGAACACCAGUGGCGAAGGCGACUCACUGGACACGUAUUGACGCUGAGGUGCGAAAGCGUGGGGAGCAAACAGG